Molecule: ribosomal RNA, 497 nt
Filed under: uncultured bacterium
Lineage: Bacteria
Description: partial 16S ribosomal RNA
Rfam family: Bacterial small subunit ribosomal RNA
Source: RNAcentral
GAUGAACGCUGGCGGCGUGCCUAAUACAUGCAAGUCGAGCGAACAGACGAGGAGCUUGCUCCUCUGACGUUAGCGGCGGACGGGUGAGUAACACGUGGAUAACCUACCUAUAAGACUGGGAUAACUUCGGGAAACCGGAGCUAAUACCGGAUAAUAUAUUGAACCGCAUGGUUCAAUAGUGAAAGACGGUUUUGCUGUCACUUAUAGAUGGAUCCGCGCCGCAUUAGCGAGUUGGUAAGGUAACGGCUUUCCAAGGCAACGAUGCGUAGCCGACCUGAGAGGGUGGUCGGCCACCCUGGAACUGAGACGCGGUCCAUACUCCUACGGGAGGCAGCAGUAGGGAAUCUUCCGCAAUGGGCGAAAGCCUUACGGAGCAACGCCGCGUGAGUGAUGAAGGUCUUCGGAUCGUAAAACUCUGUUAUUAGGGAAGAACAAAUGUGUAAGUAACUAUGCACGUCUUGACGGUACCUAAUCAGAAAGCCACGGCUAACUACGUG